Molecule: ribosomal RNA, 449 nt
Filed under: Areopaguristes sp. USNM 1544293
Lineage: Eukaryota; Metazoa; Arthropoda; Malacostraca; Decapoda; Diogenidae
Description: partial large subunit ribosomal RNA
Rfam family: Bacterial large subunit ribosomal RNA
Source: RNAcentral
CCGCGGUAUUUUGACCGUGCGAAGGUAGCAUAAUCAAUAGUCUUUUAAUUGAGGACUUGUAUGAAGGGUUGGACGAGAUAUAUACUGUUUUUUAGAUAAAAGUUGAAUUUAACUUUUAAGUGAAAAGGCUUAAAUAUUACAAGAAGACGAUAAGACCCUAUAAAUCUUUAUAUUAGUUUAAAGUUUUAAAAAGUUUAUAGGUUAAUUUGAUUAAAUUUAAAUAAUAUUUUAUUGGGGCGAUAUGAAUAGAUAAUUAUCUAUUUCAAUGAUUUUACAAAAUAUAUUUGAGUAUAAUUUUUAGAUCCCCUUUAAGGAUUUACAGAUUAAGUUACUUUAGGGAUAACAGCGUUAUUUUAUUUGAGAGUUCGUAUCGAAAAUAAAGUUUGCGACCUCGAUGUUGAAUUAAAAUUUCUUUGUGGUGCAGCAGCUAUAAAAGAAAGUCUGUUCGA